GCCCGGGUGGUGAAAUUGGUAGACACAGCAGACUUAAAAUCUGCCGCUUGCAAAGGCGUACCGGUUCGAUUCCGGUUCCGGGCACCA
This 87-nucleotide transfer RNA is filed under the name Paludibacterium paludis. RNAcentral's name for it is "tRNA-Leu". It matches the Rfam family "tRNA". Rfam says of the family: Transfer RNA (tRNA) molecules are approximately 80 nucleotides in length. The record is from RNAcentral. Lineage: Bacteria; Pseudomonadati; Pseudomonadota; Betaproteobacteria; Neisseriales; Chromobacteriaceae.